Molecule: ribosomal RNA, 431 nt
Filed under: uncultured bacterium
Lineage: Bacteria
Description: bacterial SSU rRNA
Rfam family: Bacterial small subunit ribosomal RNA
Source: RNAcentral
GUGAACGCUGGCGGCGUGGAUGAGGCAUGCAAGUCGAAUGGGUUUAGACCCAUGGCAGACGAGGUAGGAACACGUAGGUACAUACCCCAAAGUCAGGGAUAACCCGGAGAAAUCCGGAAUAACACUUGAUGGUCUCGAAAGAGUAAAGAUUUAUCGCUUUGGGAAUGGCCUGCGUUCUAUCAGCUUGUUGGUAAGGUAACGGCUUACCAAGGCUACGACGGAUAGGGGAGGUGAGAGCCUGACCCCCACCGAUGGAACUGCGACACGGUCCAUACUCCUACGGGAGGCUGCAGUCGAGAAUCUUCCGCAAUGGACGAAAGUCUGACGGAGCGACGCCGCGUGAUCGAUGAAGUCCUUAGGGACGUAAAGAUCUUUUAUGAAGGAAGAAGUUUAUUGACAUUACUUCAUGAAUAAGGGGCUCCCAAUUCUGU